UGCCACCAGAAGGGCGGGAAGCACGGCCCUGCAGCUCUAGGAAGGACAAAGAGUUUGAAUUUCCCGCGCUUCCCCUUCGCGGCACCUCGUUGGCUGGCCGGGAGGGCCCCGCAGAGGCUGGUGGAUAGUUCCAACAUGCCGAGAGGGGAGAAGUGCCCCAUCGUUGCCGAGAAGGGUGGAAGUCCAGGAUCCCCAUGUGGCCUCUGAGGGAGUUUGAAGUGGGGUUCAUGAGCAAACGGCCCAGAAAGAAUUCUUGAGAUGUCUUCAGCACAAAAAGGCGACUUUAUGAAAGCACGAGGACAGGACCGGUGGGCAGGAAGAGCUGCACGGGGGGUUGGGAGGAGCGACUGAUUAUACACUUGCAAGUUUCACCAUAAGUCUCCAAGGAAUUUCUGGAUGCUGAAAGCAGGGUCUCACAGGACCAUUCAGCUAUUGUCCGGACCAGGUUGCUUUUAGUUUUUAAGGAAGUGUAAACAGUAAGGCAUCAAGGCAGCCAUGAACUUCUUGAGGGGUGUUACACCUGCAGGUGUCUGACAUCCAGCAGUGGGCUGCAGGCUGUAAGGGAAUGGAAGUUAAGCUACAUUUUUCUUGCCUUUGUUUCCCUCGUCAGCCUCCACAGAAACCUUAUAGGUGGGGAGUGGGGUGGGGGGGAGAUGCAGGAUGUUUCCCAUGGUGUUUGGCUGGAGGAGAGUAGUUACUUCUCAAGUUCUCCACUUUCUAGGUGGACCUUUGGUCUUUUGGCUAGAGAUAACAGGGUUUUCUGGUUUUGUGUCUUUAUUGUUGUUGUUCGUUUGCCUUCCUUGGCAUUUCUAGAUUGCCAGCUUCUUCAGCACCACAUCCAGGAUAGAUGAGGUAAAAAGAAAACCCAGGGAACACACAACAUCUUGUUCCUCAACUUUCAAGGUCACUUAGCCAGCCUACCUUCUCGACACUCUUUGGCAGUCUUAUGUUUAACGUAUAUGGGAGGUUCCGGGUUGCUAGUUGUACUUCGCAGAAAGAAUAGGGAGAAGUGUGUUUUACUUCACCUUGGUCCAGAAAUAGAAGUUUUUAUGCUUUUGAAAAAUUUCUAUACAUUGCUUCUAUGUGACGUAAGAGAGGUUUCCAGCUACUAUUUUCAAACUUAUUUCCACAAAGAACACAUCCUGCGUAUUAAAUAGAUAUUUACACUUAGUAGAUUAAAAAAAAAAUUGAAUAUAAUCAUUCUCUUUUUAAAAAGUGGCUUUUGGAGGACUGGAGAUGACUGGCUUUAUAAGAAUCCUGUCAGAUGAGUACAACGUACAGAUCUGGAUCAAGUCAACUUGAGCUUUCUUUCAAGAUUUCCUGUCAUUGUUAGGUUCUUUUUUAAAAUGAGGGAUCCUUAUGCCUCCUGUCUGUAACCAGUGUUCUAUAAUGUGUGUAAUGUAAACAACAGGUGGCCCUCAGAAUAAAUUAAUGAAUUAAAAGCACUUACAGCUGUAACUCUUGCCGUGUUCAGGUGAGUGACAGUCUACUCUAGGACAUACUCUUGCAAAUGCUUCCAUUUGUCGGGGAAGAACAACUUGUCUCUACACUCAUAGGGUCUCCAACUGGGUCUAGGAAUUCAACUGACAUAGACAAAUUAAUGGGAUAAAAGCCUACAGGUUAUAAUUAUUACUUUUUGUUUACAUGCACAUGGGAGUUUUCACAAGAAAAACGAAAAUCCAAAGAAGCUCUAAGAAGGUAAUGCUUCUAUACUGUGUUGGACAAAGAAGGGUAACUUAAGAAAAUGUCACCGGCGAAGGGGCUGGGACUAGGGGAGUUAACUGGGAGAUGAUGUUUGUUUGCACAGAUUUCUCUGAGCCUCAACUUCCUGUCCUUUGCGAGAAGAAUGACUCUUUGCUUCUGGUAGAGGGAGGACCUCUUUAAGGAAAAGAAAGUAGACAGUGAGACUGUCCCUGCUGUUGCUCUUUUCUUUUAACUCAAACUACUCAAUGUGCCAGAGCUGCAUAUUUUGGGAUGGCAUGUUCUGGACUUCAUCAACAAUAAGCUCAAUGUCGGCUAGUUUUUCUCAAGGGUAUUUAAGGCACAUUAUACUUUUUUUUAUUUGUAUCGAGCAAAGAACAGAUAUUUACUUCCUUUCAUUGUCAUACAAAACAAAAUGCAUCAAAGUGUCCUCUCCAGGCGGUAGAGUUGUUCCUGAGGAAAUUACUUUUCUCUCACGUUUUUGUGGAAGCGUUUCCCCCCACCGUCUCUCUCCCCAACAUCUGCCCUGCGCGUUAUUUUUCAGUCAAAUGCCUAGAAUUUGCCAAUUUUGAGAACGUGCUGAUAGGAUUUCAUCAAGCUGUCCUACUGUUGCAGACAGUUGUAGUGUGGUGUUUGCUGACUUGCGUGACGCAGGCUCACCUAGAUGACCGGAAGCCUUCUUCUCGUCCCUGAUCUGAUGGAGUAUGGAUUCCUGAUGCUGCGAAUAUCUGCACUCCAGCUUGUAUUUUGUGGUUUUGAAGCAGGCCUUAAUCUUGCCUCCUAUUUUACCUAGCCCUCUACAUACCCCUUCCUCCAUCCAAAGGGACUACUUUAUUCCGGAAAUUAGAACAGUCCUACCUCUGGCCCUCGGCUCCUGACAUUCCCUUGGCUUUGGAUGCACGUGGCCUUUUAUGGGAGCAUUUACUCUUCCUGCUUGGCUAGCUUCCUCACCGCUUUCAGGUUUGAACUCAAACCUGAAACUCAUACCCGAACUCAUACCCUCCUGGUGACACUCUCCCUGACCAUCCCCGUGUGUCUCAGAUAUGCCCUUUUCCUACUUUGUCUCCAUGCCGCUCGUCACCACAAACCGCACUGUCCUCUUCUGUGCAUUUAGCCCAUUGUGCACCUCGCCACGCUAGGAGGGCGUCACCGCAAAGGUACAGUUUUCCAUCUGCCAUGGACACUGCCAUGUUCCGUGGACCUGGAACUCUCUGGCAUUUAGUCGGUAUUCAAUGAGUAUGUAUGGAAUGAAUGGUGAAUACUCACCUCCCUCAUGAACUCUCUUGACCCUUCUGAUUCGCAGUGAUGACCCCUCUCUGCCACCCAUUCUCAUAUUCCUGAUUGCUCACACCUUCAUUUUUGGAGGCAGAAUAUCCUGUACUAUUUAAUCUUCAGACAUACAGUCCUUCUCUUUUCAAAAAGUGCCAAGUCUUUGAGGCAGGAUUUGAGACCUUCUAUAUCUUCAUCUUGCAAAGACAUUGAGCCUGUGGUUGUUGUUUACUGCUGUCAUUGACACUGAAGAUAACGAUGAAAAAUUAAAAGGAGAGUGAAUAUUGUCAAGAGAAAGAGUCCUAAGUGUCUGAAGACUUAAGAGAAGGCGAAAAAAAAAUGGAAGAUGCACAUCUUGACUCUCCUGCCUGGUUCCCUGGAUCAAAGGAUGCUUCUUUGACCGUUGGCUUAUGAGUAGAUUUUUCUCACACAUAGGUUCGUGUUCCUUUUACCAUCCUAUUUGGGACUCAGAAGACCUGUAGGCUUGAGUCUGCAAAACUUCCUGAAAUUACUGUUCACCUUCCUCAGGGCCCCAUCAAGGUCUAUCUUCUGGACCAUAAGAGGAAAAACACCAAGAUUCCUCCCGGCAAUGUCUCUCAAUGUUACUAUAUUCCUUGACAUGAGCGCUAAGACCAGGCAAAGACUGCAGUCAUAUAAACACCGCGUUUAUAAUACUUCAUCUUUUUUGUUUAUUUCAGUGUUGUGGGGCAUCUGUUCCCUCAUUUCCUAAAGGUCCCAAGACUUCUUGUGUUUGCGUUGCAAUGUUUCGGCCCUCUAACCACGAGGGGUGCAGUACGCUAUGGAUAUGGAGGAUGACAGAAGAAUUUUCCGAACCAACCAAGUGUUGUAGCCAAGUGAAAAAAUGGAGAAGAAACAGUCACAAUCCUGGAAAAGGAAAAACAGCCAAAAGACAGAGCAAUGAGGACAAUCAUUCCUGCUCCGGAUUGGAUUUUAAAUUCGUAUUGUUCAGAAAAUCAAACUGUUUCAAUUAUUAGUGCUAACGUAAAAGCUCUUCACGCCAGAUUACAGUGGAGUAUUCAAAAACCUCCCGCUAGGAGGAGGGCUUUUAUGCAAAUGAGGGAUGCUGAUUAUGCUUUUUCAUUGGUUACUUGAAAAGAGCCAAUGGGAGGCUUGUAUUCAGCAUACCUCCCGUUAGUAUAAAUAUUUCUCUUGCUCUCAGUCUA
This is an RNA transcript of Neofelis nebulosa (Clouded leopard), 4154 nucleotides long. It is a transcript of the gene named histone H2A type 1-B-like, with no coding region annotated. The transcript has 3 exons. NCBI's taxonomy places the organism in Eukaryota, Metazoa, Chordata, Mammalia, Carnivora, Felidae. The record is from RefSeq and is a predicted model, not a curated record.